CUUUGGCUUCCCCACCGGCAAUGGAGCGGUUGACGUUGCCUCUCGGCGGCGCGGCGGCGGUGGACGAGUACCUGGAGUACCGGAGAAUUGUUGGUGAGGAUGAUGGAGGGAAACUUUUUACUCCUGAAGAAUAUGAAGAAUACAAAAGAAAAGUUUUACCUCUGCGCUUACAAAACAGAUUAUUUGUGAGCUGGCGGUCACCAACAGGGAUGGAUUGUAAACUUGUGGGCCCAGAGACACUGUGUUUUUGUACACAUAGGUAUAAACAACAUAAAACUGACUUGGAAGCGAUUCCUCAGCAGUGCCCCAUUGAUCUGCCCUGCCAAGUGACUGGCUGCCAGUGCAGGGCUUACCUUUAUGUCCCCUUGAAUGGUAGCCAGCCCAUUCGCUGCAGGUGCAAACACUUUGCUGAUCAGCACAGUGCUGCGCCUGGCUUUACAUGCAAUACAUGUUCCAAGUGUUCAGGAUUCCAUAGCUGCUUCACUUGUGCUUGUGGUCAGCCUGCAUAUGCCCAUGACACAGUAGUGGAAACUAAGCAAGAAAGAUUGGCUCAGGAAAAACCAGUGGGACAGGACAUUCCUUAUGCAGCCAUGGGAGGAUUAACUGGUUUCAGCUCGCUGGCGGAAGGCUACAUGCGGUUAGAUGACAGUGGGAUUGGUGUACCUUCAGUUGAAUUUUUAGAAUCUCCCAUUACGGCAGUAGACAGCCCAUUCCUAAAAGCAUUUCAAGCAUCAUCUAGUUCUUCUCCAGAAACGUUAACAGAUGUAGGUACAAGUAGUCAAGUUUCUUCAUUAAGGAGACCUGAAGAGGAUGAUAUGGCUUUCUUUGAAAGACGAUACCAGGAAAGGAUGAAAAUGGAAAAGGCUGCUAAGUGGAAAGGAAAAGCUCCAUUGCCAUCAGCUACAAAACCUUCAUGAAGACUAUUGGAGAAAUUAAAACCAUCAUCCAAGUAUCUUUUUCAUGUUUAUUUAAAUGCUGAAGAUAUCUACUGAUUUUUACGUUGUGUUGUCAACCACCCAUUGUCUAUGACUGUACUGGACACAUCUUGUGUGCCACUGCAAAUCCUCUUGGCCCCGUUUCUUACUCCAUUACUGCUGUGGAACACUUUCCAGCAGGCUUCUGAUAGCGGAAGCCAUUUGAUGGCACCUUGUCUUGGGCGCAUGUCAUGGCUCUCUUGCUUCCUUCUGCAGGGAUCUUCUGACACUGUGGCUUGGGAUGCCCACUAGAACCCCACUGUAUGAUACAUAUGCAGCCCAAAGAUGUUGGGGAGCUAGUGACUUUGGGGCCACUCUUGAUUAAUGGGAGGUGGAAGCCCAAUACAUAAGUGCUCUCCCGUCUGUUGGGAAGACAAUUCUGAAAUGCAUUUCAUAAACUUCCUCAGAAAGUCCUAUCGUUGAGCUCCAGUCACCCAUAGCAGUGGCCAACUCAAUAAUAAUAUAUCCUUAUCUUUCUUUUUUCCUUUUCCACUCCUCUACCCCUCCCUCUAGUUCCCUCAGAUCACUUCCCAAAUAAACUACUUGUAUAACAACA
Molecule: RNA transcript, 1530 nt
Organism: Homo sapiens (human)
Lineage: Eukaryota; Metazoa; Chordata; Mammalia; Primates; Hominidae
Gene: FAM221A
Gene name: family with sequence similarity 221 member A
Exons: 8
Source: RefSeq, marked validated